UGUGGUGUGAGUGCUCUGCUGGUCCCA
Molecule: non-coding RNA, 27 nt
Filed under: Mus musculus (house mouse)
Lineage: Eukaryota; Metazoa; Chordata; Mammalia; Rodentia; Muridae
Source: RNAcentral